GCUGGGUGCAGUGGCUCAUGCCUGUAAUCCCAGUGGCUCAGGAGGCUGAGGCAGGAGAAUCGCGAGUUCAAAGCCAGCCUCAGCAACAGCAAGGCACUAAGCAACUCAGUGAGACCCAGUCUCUG
Molecule: small RNA, 125 nt
Filed under: Marmota monax (woodchuck)
Lineage: Eukaryota; Metazoa; Chordata; Mammalia; Rodentia; Sciuridae
Source: RNAcentral